Molecule: ribosomal RNA, 259 nt
Filed under: uncultured prokaryote
Description: partial 16S ribosomal RNA
Rfam family: Bacterial small subunit ribosomal RNA
Source: RNAcentral
UACGGAGGAUCCGAGCGUUAUCCGGAUUUAUUGGGUUUAAAGGGUGCGUAGGUGGAUUGGUAAGUCAGUGGUGAAAGUUUGCAGCUUAGCUGUAAAAUUGCCGUUGAAACUGCCGGUCUUGAGUGCAAAUGAGGUAGGCGGAAUGCGUCGUGUAGCGGUGAAAUGCUUAGAUAUGACGCAGAACUCCGAUUGCGAAGGCAGCUUACUGGGAUGCAACUGACGCUGAGGCACGAAAGCGUGGGUAUCAAACAGGAUUAGA